GAUGAACGCUGGCGGCGUGCCUAAUACAUGCAAGUCGAGCGAACAGACGAGGGGCUGGCUCCUUUGACGUUAGCGGCGGACGGGUGAGUAACACGUGGGUAACCUACCGAUAAGGGUGGGAUAACUUCGGGAAACCGGAGCUAAUACCGUAUAAGAAUUCGAACCGCAUGGUUCGAUAGUGAAAUAUGGCUUUGCUAUCACUUGUAGAUGGACCUUCGCCGUAUUAGGUAGUUGGUAAGGUAACGGCUUACCAAGACAACAAACAGUAGCCGCCCUGAGAGGGUGACCGGCACAACUGGACUUGGGAAACGGUCCAGCCUCCUAGGGGAGGCAGAAGUAGGGAAUCUCCCGAAAUGGGCGAAAGCUUGACGGAGAAACGCCGCGUGAGUGAUGAAGGUCUUCGGAUCGAAAACCUCUGUUAUUAGGGAAGAACAAACGUGUAAGUAAAUGUGCACGUCUUGACGGUACCUAACCAGAAAGCCACGGCUAACUACGUG
This 497-nucleotide ribosomal RNA is filed under the name uncultured bacterium. Its description in RNAcentral is "partial 16S ribosomal RNA". It matches the Rfam family "Bacterial small subunit ribosomal RNA", at positions 28 to 507 of the family's 1533-position model. The record is from RNAcentral.